This 253-nucleotide unclassified non-coding RNA is filed under the name uncultured Halomonadaceae bacterium. RNAcentral's name for it is "contains 16S-23S intergenic spacer region". It matches the Rfam family "Bacterial small subunit ribosomal RNA", at positions 524 to 776 of the family's 1533-position model. The record is from RNAcentral. Lineage: Bacteria; Pseudomonadati; Pseudomonadota; Gammaproteobacteria; Oceanospirillales; Halomonadaceae.
UACGGAGGGUGCAAGCGUUAAUCGGAAUCACUGGGCGUAAAGCGCGCGUAGGCGGCCUGAUAAGCCGGUUGUGAAAGCCCCGGGCUCAACCUGGGAACCGCAUCCGGAACUGUCAGGCUAGAGUGCAGGAGAGGAAGGUAGAAUUCCCGGUGUAGUGGUGAAAUGCGUAGAGAUCGGGAGGAAUACCAGUGGCGAAGGCGGCCUUCCGGACUGACACUGACGCUGAGGUGCGAAAGCGUGGGUAGCAAACAGG